GAUGAAGAACGCAGCGAAAUGCGAUAAGUAAUGUGAAUUGCAGAAUUCAGUGAAUCAUCGAAUCUUUGAACGCACAUUGCGCCCGCCAGUAUUCUGGCGGGCAUGCCUGUUCGAGCGUCAUUUCAACCAUCAAGCCCCCGGCUUGUGUUGGGGACCUGCGGCUGCCCGCAGGCCCUGAAAACCAGUGGCGGUCACGCUGUCACACCGAGCGUAGUAAGCAUUAUCUCGCUCAGGGCGUGCUGCGGGUUCCGGCCGUUAAAUGAAAAGCCUUCGUAGCCCAAGGUUGACCUCGGAUCAGGUAGGAAGACCCGCUGAACUUAAGCAUAUCAAUAAGCGGAGGA
This 341-nucleotide unclassified non-coding RNA is filed under the name soil metagenome. RNAcentral describes it as "partial contains 5.8S ribosomal RNA, internal transcribed spacer 2, and large subunit ribosomal RNA". The stretch from base 1 to 120 matches the Rfam family "5.8S ribosomal RNA", at positions 35 to 154 of the family's 154-position model. The record is from RNAcentral.